AUUGAACGCUGGCGGCGUGCUUAACACAUGCAAGUCGUGCGGUAACAGGCGUAGCAAUACGUGCUGACGAGCGGCGAACGGGUGCGUAAUACAUGGGAAUCUGCCCUUUAGUGGGGAAUAACCCGGCGAAAGCCGGGCUAAUGCCGCAUAAGAUCUUCGGAUGAAAGCGGGGGAUCGUAAGACCUCGCGCUGAUGGAUGAGCCCAUGUCGGAUUAGCAGUUGGUGAGGUAACGGCUCACCAAGGCGACGAUCCGUAGCUGGUCUGAGAGGACGGCCAGCCACACUGGGACUGAGACACGGCCCAGACUCCUACGGGAGCAGCAGUGGGAAUAUUGGACAAUGGGCGAAAGCCUGAUCCAGCGACGCCGCGUGUGUGAAGAAGGCCUGCGGG
RNAcentral lists this ribosomal RNA (391 nucleotides) under uncultured bacterium. RNAcentral describes it as "bacterial SSU rRNA". It matches the Rfam family "Bacterial small subunit ribosomal RNA", at positions 29 to 422 of the family's 1533-position model. The record is from RNAcentral.